This 73-nucleotide transfer RNA is filed under the name Arthrobacter phage Atuin. Its description in RNAcentral is "tRNA-Thr". It matches the Rfam family "tRNA". From Rfam's summary of the family: Transfer RNA (tRNA) molecules are approximately 80 nucleotides in length. Their secondary structure includes four short double-helical elements and three loops (D, anti-codon, and T loops). Lineage: Duplodnaviria; Heunggongvirae; Uroviricota; Caudoviricetes. The record is from RNAcentral.
GCUUCUGUGGCGCAGUGGUAGCGCGCAUUCUUGGUAAGAAUGAGGCCACGGGUUCGAUCCCCGUCAGAAGCUC